CCUACGGGCGGCAGCAGUGAGGAAUAUUGGUCAAUGGACGAGAGUCUGAACCAGCCAAGUAGCGUGAAGGAUGACUGCCCUAUGGGUUGUAAACUUCUUUUAUAUGGGAAUAAAACGUUCCACGUGUGGGAUUUUGUAUGUACCAUAUGAAUAAGGAUCGGCUAACUCCGUGCCAGCAGCCGCGGUAAUACGGAGGAUCCGAGCGUUAUCCGGAUUUAUUGGGUUUAAAGGGAGCGUAGGUGGAUUGUUAAGUCAGUUGUGAAAGUGUGCGGCUCAACCGUAAAAUUGCAGUUGAAACUGGCAGUCUUGAGUACAGUAGAGGUGGGCGGAAUUCGUGGUGUAGCGGUGAAAUGCUUAGAUAUCACGAAGAACUCCGAUUGCGAAGGCAGUUCACUGGACUGCAACUGACACUGAGGCUCGAAAGUGUGGGUAUCAAACAGGAUUAGAUACCCUUGUAGUC
This 460-nucleotide ribosomal RNA is filed under the name uncultured bacterium. RNAcentral describes it as "partial 16S ribosomal RNA". It matches the Rfam family "Bacterial small subunit ribosomal RNA", at positions 338 to 795 of the family's 1533-position model. The record is from RNAcentral.